RNAcentral lists this ribosomal RNA (500 nucleotides) under uncultured bacterium. RNAcentral's name for it is "partial 16S ribosomal RNA". It matches the Rfam family "Bacterial small subunit ribosomal RNA", at positions 30 to 525 of the family's 1533-position model. The record is from RNAcentral.
AUUGAACGCUGGCGGCAUGCCUUACACAUGCAAGUCGAACGGCAGCACGGGAGCAAUCCUGGUGGCGAGUGGCGAACGGGUGAGUAAAGUAUCGGAACGUGCCCAGUCGUGGGGGAUAACGUAGCGAAAGUUACGCUAAUACCGCAUACGAUCUAUGGAUGAAAGCGGGGGAUCGCAAGACCUCGCGCGAUUGGAGCGGCCGAUAUCAGAUUAGGUAGUUGGUGGGGUAAAGGCUCACCAAGCCGACGAUCUGUAGCUGGUCUGAGAGGACGACCAGCCACACUGGGACUGAGACACGGCCCAGACUCCUACGGGAGGCAGCAGUGGGGAAUUUUGGACAAUGGGCGAAAGCCUGAUCCAGCCAUGCCGCGUGCAGGAUGAAGGCCUUCGGGUUGUAAACUGCUUUUGUACGGAACGAAAAGGUUUGGCCUAAUAAGCUGAGCUCAUGACGGUACCGUAAGAAUAAGCACCGGCUAACUACGUGCCAGCCGCCGGUAAAA